GAUGAAGAACGUAGCGAAAUGCGAUAAGUAAUGUGAAUUGCAGAAUUCAGUGAAUCAUCGAAUCUUUGAACGCACAUUGCGCCCCCCGGCAUUCCGGGGAGCAUGCCUGUUCGAGCGUCUCUUGGAAUACCCCUCACGCCGGCGGAGGCGUGGUCAUGGCGGCGGUGGCGUGCCCCGAGAGGGAGGCCACCGCGCUGGAAUCCAUGGGCGGACGCCUGCCGCGUGGCCGAGCGUGAUAAGACGCACUGGCGCUCGCGCGCGGCGAGGCUGCCGGCCCUGGCCCGCUCGUCAGGCGGGGACAGCAACACUUGGGAACUCCUCGAAUCAGGUAGGGAUACCCGCUGAACUUAAGCAUAUCAAUAAGCGGAGGA
Molecule: unclassified non-coding RNA, 371 nt
Filed under: soil metagenome
Description: partial contains 5.8S ribosomal RNA, internal transcribed spacer 2, and large subunit ribosomal RNA
Rfam family: 5.8S ribosomal RNA (bases 1-120)
Source: RNAcentral